This 308-nucleotide long non-coding RNA is filed under the name Panax ginseng (ginseng). Its description in RNAcentral is "long non-coding RNA (PGIN_LNC003504)". The record is from RNAcentral. Lineage: Eukaryota; Viridiplantae; Streptophyta; Magnoliopsida; Apiales; Araliaceae.
GCUUUAAUCUAUGUCCAUUCACCUUAAGGAUCUUGUUUGUACUAGGACUUUGAAUCUCAACUGCACCAUGAGGAAACACAUUAGUGAUAACAAAAGGACCAACCCAUCUAGAUCUCAAUUUACCUGGAAAUAACUUAAGCCGAGAAUGAUAUAACAAAACUUUUUGUCCCACAAUAAAAGUUUUUUGCACAAUCUGCUUAUCAUGAAAAGCUUUGGUCUUUUCCUUGUAAAUCUUUGAACUUUCAUAGGCUUCAUUCCUCAAUUCUUCCAACUCUUGUAACUGCAAUUUCCUGUGUACUCCAGCUGCC